AGCAGUAGCCGCGGUAAUACAGAGGGUGCGAGCGUUAAUCGGAUUUACUGGGCGUAAAGCGUGCGUAGGCGGCUUUUUAAGUCAGAUGUGAAAUCCCUGAGCUUAACUUAGGAAUUGCAUUCGAUACUGGGAAGCUAGAGUAUGGGAGAGGAUGGUAGAAUUCCAGGUGUAGCGGUGAAAUGCGUAGAGAUCUGGAGGAAUACCGAUGGCGAAGGCAGCCAUCUGGCCUAAUACUGACGCUGAGGUACGAAAGCAUGGGGAGCAAACAGGAUUAGAGACCCCGGUAGUCCCUGUCUCUUAUAC
This 303-nucleotide ribosomal RNA is filed under the name uncultured bacterium. Its description in RNAcentral is "partial 16S ribosomal RNA". It matches the Rfam family "Bacterial small subunit ribosomal RNA", at positions 507 to 807 of the family's 1533-position model. The record is from RNAcentral.